This is a small nucleolar RNA of Salvelinus namaycush (lake trout), 76 nucleotides long. RefSeq annotates it as small nucleolar RNA SNORD2. The transcript has a single exon. The record is from RefSeq and is a predicted model, not a curated record. NCBI's taxonomy places the organism in Eukaryota, Metazoa, Chordata, Actinopteri, Salmoniformes, Salmonidae.
GAUUGACAAGAUGCCAUACCAUCUUUCGGGACUGACGGCAAUGGAGAACUACCCUUUUUAGUAUUACUGAUCACUC